RNAcentral lists this ribosomal RNA (263 nucleotides) under uncultured Eubacteriales bacterium. RNAcentral describes it as "uncultured Clostridiales bacterium partial 16S ribosomal RNA". It matches the Rfam family "Bacterial small subunit ribosomal RNA", at positions 62 to 339 of the family's 1533-position model. The record is from RNAcentral. Lineage: Bacteria; Bacillati; Bacillota; Clostridia; Eubacteriales.
CCUAGCGAUAUGUAAGUUAGUGGCGGACGGGUGAGUAACGCGUGGGUAACCUGCCUUGAAGAGGGGGACAACAGUUGGAAACGACUGCUAAUACCGCAUGACGCAUAGAGGUCGCAUGAUCUUUAUGCCAAAGAUUUAUCGCUUCAAGAUGGGCUCGCGUCUGAUUAGAUAGUUGGUGGGGUAACGGCCUACCAAGUCGACGAUCAGUAGCCGGUCUGAGAGGAUGAACGGCCACAUUGGGACUGAGAUACGGCCCAGACUCC